Molecule: ribosomal RNA, 433 nt
Filed under: uncultured bacterium
Lineage: Bacteria
Description: partial 16S ribosomal RNA
Rfam family: Bacterial small subunit ribosomal RNA
Source: RNAcentral
AACGAACGCUGGCGGCAUGCCUAACACAUGCAAGUCGAACGAAGGCUUCGGCCUUAGUGGCGCACGGGUGCGUAACGCGUGGGAAUCUGCCCUUAGGUUCGGAAUAACAGUUAGAAAUGACUGCUAAUACCGGAUGAUGACGUAAGUCCAAAGAUUUAUCGCCUGAGGAUGAGCCCGCGUAGGAUUAGCUAGUUGGUGUGGUAAAGGCGCACCAAGGCGACGAUCCUUAGCUGGUCUGAGAGGACGAUCAGCCACACUGGGACUGAGACACGGCCCAGACUCCUACGGGAGGCAGCAGUGGGGAAUAUUGGACAAUGGGCGCAAGCCUGAUCCAGCAAUGCCGCGUGAGUGAUGAAGGCCUUAGGGUUGUAAAGCUCUUUUACCCGUGAUGAUAAUGACAGUAGCGGGAGAAUAAGCCCCGGCUAACUCCGUG